UGGGGAAUAUUGGACAAUGGGCGACAGCCUGAUCCAGCCAUGCCGCGUGUGUGAAGAAGGUCUUCGGAUUGUAAAGCACUUUAAGUUGGGAGGAAGGGCAUUAACCUAAUACGUUAGUGUUUUGACGUUACCGACAGAAUAAGCACCGGCUAACUCUGUGCCAGCAGCCGCGGUGAUACAGAGGGUGCAAGCGUUAAUCGGAAUUACUGGGCGUAAAGCGCGCGUAGGUGGUUUGUUAAGUUGGAUGUGAAAUCCCCGGGCUCAACCUGGGAACUGCAUUCAAAACUGACUGACUAGAGUAUGGUAGAGGGUGGUGGAAUUUCCUGUGUAGCGGUGAAAUGCGUAGAUAUAGGAAGGAACACCAGUGGCGAAGGCGACCACCUGGACUAAUACUGACACUGAGGUGCGAAAGCGUGGGGAGCAAACA
This 427-nucleotide ribosomal RNA is filed under the name uncultured bacterium. RNAcentral describes it as "partial 16S ribosomal RNA". It matches the Rfam family "Bacterial small subunit ribosomal RNA", at positions 355 to 774 of the family's 1533-position model. The record is from RNAcentral.